RNAcentral lists this ribosomal RNA (441 nucleotides) under uncultured Ilumatobacter sp. RNAcentral's name for it is "bacterial SSU rRNA". It matches the Rfam family "Bacterial small subunit ribosomal RNA", at positions 338 to 795 of the family's 1533-position model. Lineage: Bacteria; Bacillati; Actinomycetota; Acidimicrobiia; Acidimicrobiales; Ilumatobacteraceae. The record is from RNAcentral.
CCUACGGGGGGCUGCAGUGGGGAAUAUUGCACAAUGGGCGAAAGCCUGAUGCAGCAACGCCGCGUGCGGGAAGAAGGCCUUAGGGUUGUAAACCGCUUUCAGCAGGGAAGAAAAUGACGGUACCUGCAGAAGAAGGUGCGGCCAACUACGUGCCAGCAGCCGCGGUGACACGUAGGCACCAAGCGUUGUCCGGAUUUAUUGGGCGUAAAGAGCUCGUAGGCGGUUCAGUAAGUCGGGUGUGAAAACUCUGGGCUCAACCCAGAGACGCCACCCGAUACUGCUGUGACUUGAGUACGGUAGGGGAGCGGGGAAUUCCUAGUGUAGCGGUGAAAUGCGCAGAUAUUAGGAGGAACACCAGUGGCGAAGGCGCCGCUCUGGGCCGUAACUGACGCUGAGGAGCGAAAGCGUGGGGAGCAAACAGGAUUAGAUACCCCGGUAGUC